This 255-nucleotide ribosomal RNA is filed under the name uncultured bacterium. Its description in RNAcentral is "partial 16S ribosomal RNA". It matches the Rfam family "Bacterial small subunit ribosomal RNA", at positions 524 to 776 of the family's 1533-position model. The record is from RNAcentral.
UACGGAGGGGGCAAGCGUUGUUCGGAAUUACUGGGCGUAAAGCGCGCGCAGGCGGAUGUGGCAAGUCGGGAGUGAAAUCCCGGGGCUCAACCCCGUGGACUGCUCCCGAUACUGCUCGUCUAGGGACCGGUAGAGGCCGGUGGAAUUCCCGGUGUAGCGGUGGAAUGCGUAGAGAUCGGGAGGAACACCUGUGGCGAAGGCGGCCGGCUGGGCCGGAUCCGACGCUGAGGCGCGAAAGCGUGGGGAGCGAACAGG